CCUGCCGUAUGCAGGGGGAUAACAGUUAGAAAUGACUGCUAAUACCGCAUAAGCGCACAGUAUCGCAUGAUACAGUGUGAAAAACGAUAGUGGCAUACGAUGGACCCGCGUCUGAUUAGCUAGUUGGCGGGGUAACGGCCCACCAAGGCGACGAUCAGUAGCCGGCCUGAGAGGGUGAACGGCCACAUUGGAACUGAGACACGGUCCAAACUCCUACGGGAGGCAGCAGUGGGGGAUAUUGCACAAUGGGGGAAACCCUGAUGCAGCGACGCCGCGUGAGUGAAGAAGUAUUUCGGUAUGUAAAGCUCUAUCAGCAGGAAAGAUAAUGACGGUACCUGACUAAGAAGCACCGGCUAAAUACGUGCCAGCAGCCGCGGUAAUACGUAUGGUGCAAGCGUUAUCCGGAUUUACUGGGUGUAAAGGGAGCGCAGACGGCAUGGCAAGCCAGAUGUGAAAGGUGGGGGCUCAACCCCCAAGCUGCAUUUGGAACUGUCAAGCUAAAGUAUCGGACAGGUAAGUGGAAUUCCUAGUGUAGCGGUGAAAUGCGUAAAUAUUAGGAGGAACACCAUUG
This 571-nucleotide ribosomal RNA is filed under the name uncultured bacterium. Its description in RNAcentral is "bacterial SSU rRNA". It matches the Rfam family "Bacterial small subunit ribosomal RNA", at positions 125 to 714 of the family's 1533-position model. The record is from RNAcentral.